This is a ribosomal RNA of 504 nucleotides. It matches the Rfam family "Bacterial large subunit ribosomal RNA", at positions 2010 to 2541 of the family's 2925-position model.
CCUCCACUGUCUCAUGCGGUACCUCAGUGAAAUUGGUUUAGCCGUGCAGAUACGGUUUAUGUGCAAGAGGACACGAAGACCCUAUACAGCUUUACUAUAGCUAGUUAUUGUAAUCGUCUUAAUGAUUUAGAAGGUAGUCGUUAGACGCAAAUGAAAUACCUUUAUUCAUUAAUGAUAGUUGCUAUGCUUAAUAAGCUAAUAUGACUAGUGGGUAGUUUAACUGGGACGGUUUCCUCCAAUAAAGUAUCGGAGGACCUCGAAGGUAUGCUGAUGUUAGAUGGAAGCUAACGUGUCAUGAGGACACACAAAAGCCCAUAGGUAUAUGCAUGCUUGACUGCAAGACCGAUAAGUCGAAGCAGAUACUUAAGUAGGACUAAGUGAUCCGCUAGUGCUAUAUGGAUAGGCUAGCGCUCAAGAGAUAAAAGUUACGCUAGGGAUAACAGGGUUAUAGCGCACGAGAGUUCAUAUUGUCGGCGCUGUUUGCCACCUCGAUGUCGACUCAUC